AGUCGUAACAAGGUUUCCGUAGGUGAACCUGCGGAAGGAUCAUUAAUUAUGUUAAAGCGCCUUACCUCUUAGGGUUUCCUCUGGGGUAAGUGAUUGCUUCUACACUGUGAAAAUUUGGCUGAGAGACUCAGACUGGUCAUGGGUAGACCUAUCUGGGGUUUGAUCGAUGCCACUCCUGGUUUCAGGAGCACCCUUCAUAAUAAACCUAGAAAUUCAGUAUUAUAAAGUUUAAUAAAAAACAACUUUUAACAAUGGAUCUCUUGGUUCUCGCAUCGAUGAAGAACGUAGCAAAGUGCGAUAACUAGUGUGAAUUGCAUAUUCAGUGAAUCAUCGAGUCUUUGAACGCAGCUUGCACUCUAUGGUUUUUCUAUAGAGUACGCCUGCUUCAGUAUCAUCACAAACCCACACAUAACAUUUGUUUAUGUGGUAAUGGGUCGCAUCGCUGUUUUAUUACAGUGAGCACCUAAAAUGUGUGUGAUUUUCUGUCUGGCUUGCUAGGCAGGAAUAUUACGCUGGUCUCAGGAUCUUUUUCUUUGGUUCGCCCAGGAAGUAAAGUACAAGAGUAUAAUCCAGCAACUUUCAAACUAUGAUCUGAAGUCAGGUGGGAUUACCCGCUGAACCUAAGCAUAUCAAUA
RNAcentral lists this unclassified non-coding RNA (635 nucleotides) under Rhizopus arrhizus. RNAcentral's name for it is "sequence contains 18S rRNA gene, ITS1, 5.8S rRNA gene, ITS2, 28S rRNA gene". The stretch from base 241 to 394 matches the Rfam family "5.8S ribosomal RNA". Lineage: Eukaryota; Fungi; Mucoromycota; Mucoromycetes; Mucorales; Rhizopodaceae. The record is from RNAcentral.